Molecule: ribosomal RNA, 374 nt
Filed under: uncultured organism
Description: partial 16S ribosomal RNA
Rfam family: Bacterial small subunit ribosomal RNA
Source: RNAcentral
GUAGGUGGCAAGCGUUGUCCGGAAUUAUUGGGCGUAAAGCGCGCGCAGGCGGUCCUUUAAGUCUGAUGUGAAAGCCCACGGCUCAACCGUGGAGGGUCAUUGGAAACUGGGGGACUUGAGUACAGAAGAGGAAAGCGGAAUUCCAAGUGUAGCGGUGAAAUGCGUAGAGAUUUGGAGGAACACCAGUGGCGAAGGCGGCUUUUCUGGUCUGUAACUGACGCUGAAACACAAAAGCGUGGGGAGCAAACAGGGAUUAGAUACCCUGGUAAUCCACACCGUAAACGAUGAGUGCUAAGUGUUAGGGGGUUUCCCGCCCCUUAGUGCUGCAGCUAACGCAUUAAGCACUCCGCCUGGGGAGUACGGCCGCAAGGCUG